RNAcentral lists this ribosomal RNA (471 nucleotides) under uncultured bacterium. Its description in RNAcentral is "bacterial LSU rRNA". It matches the Rfam family "Bacterial large subunit ribosomal RNA", at positions 711 to 1180 of the family's 2925-position model. The record is from RNAcentral.
AGACCCGAAACCAAGUGAUCUAUCCAUGGCCAGGUUGAAGGUGCCGUAACAGGUACUGGAGGACCGAACCCACUAGUGUUGCAAAACUAGGGGAUGAGCUGUGGAUAGGGGUGAAAGGCUAAACAAACUUGGAAAUAGCUGGUUCUCUCCGAAAACUAUUUAGGUAGUGCCUCACGUAUCACUCUCGGGGGUAGAGCACUGUCAUGGCUAGGGGGUCAUCGCGACUUACCAAACCAUAGCAAACUCCGAAUACCGAGAAGUGCGAGCGUGGGAGACAGACAUCGGGUGCUAACGUCCGGUGUCAAGAGGGAAACAACCCAGACCGCCAGCUAAGGUCCCAAAUGACGUGCUAAGUGGUAAACGAAGUGGGAAGGCAUAGACAGCCAGGAUGUUGGCUUAGAAGCAGCCAUCAUUUAAAGAAAGCGUAAUAGCUCACUGGUCGAGUCGUCCUGCGCGGAAGAUGUAACGGGG